RNAcentral lists this transfer RNA (71 nucleotides) under Clathrina clathrus. RNAcentral's name for it is "tRNA-Met". It matches the Rfam family "tRNA". From Rfam's summary of the family: Transfer RNA (tRNA) molecules are approximately 80 nucleotides in length. Their secondary structure includes four short double-helical elements and three loops (D, anti-codon, and T loops). Lineage: Eukaryota; Metazoa; Porifera; Calcarea; Clathrinida; Clathrinidae. The record is from RNAcentral.
AGGAGCUUAAUUUAAUGGUAGAAUGUUAUGCUCAUAACAUAGUGGUAUAGGUUCAAGUCCUGGAGGCCCGU